Oncorhynchus tshawytscha (Chinook salmon) is the source of this 3828-nucleotide long non-coding RNA. The record is from Ensembl. NCBI's taxonomy places the organism in Eukaryota, Metazoa, Chordata, Actinopteri, Salmoniformes, Salmonidae.
GGGUGUGCAUGUGGCUGGUGGUGUUGUGGUCUGGAUGUACUGUAGGUCCUCUAUGUGUAGGCCCGGAGGAGGGGGGGUGUCUGUGAGAGUGUCUCGCUGGUCUGGGCAGGCUGUUUAUUGAUCUGUUGCUCCUGUGUGAAGUGUUGGGGCUGCGUUUGAGAGCGAUGUCCUUUAGAGUCCGGGCGAAGGUGAGCACUGCUGCCUUGUAUAGGUGGACCUGGUCAUAGAGGCUGUUCAGGGUAGAGUGGUGGGCCAGGAAAACAUUUGGUUUUGAGGCACAGUCACGGGAAAUACUUGCGUUUACCCGCUGUAUGGUUGCAGGGUGGAAGUCUUUUCAUGGUAGCAUUGGAGAAAGUAGAAGAAGCUUUUUCAAUCACUCCCUUCAGUGCUGUGGCAAUCCAAUCCUGCUAUGUUCUCAGGUUGUUUGUGCCUGUGUGUAUUAUUAUGUGGCUAGGUGAACCUAGUUGGUCCUCAGACAGAAGGUCUAGGGCACCCUGGAUGUUUGGGCACCCUGGAUGUUUGGACACCAGAGUUUAGACACACUGUGCUUGGGAAAAUGUUUUUUAUUCUUGUAUAUUUUUCCCAUUUGAGUCCAUCAGAAGUACAAUACACUCUCUCCCUCCCUCUCUCAUCUAUCACUCGCUUUCUCUCUUCCCCUCCCUCCUCUCUUUCACCCUCCUUCUCUCUACCCUCUCUUACCCUCCCUCACGCUCCCACUUCUCUCUCCCCCCUCUAUUACUUAUUUCCCCUCUCCCCCUUCUCUCCUCUCUUCUCUUCUCAUCUCCCAACUUCACCUCUCUCUCUUCUCUCACCUCCACAGACAGGAUAUUGACGCAUAGAUAUACAGUACAUCAAGGGUAUUGACUCAUACAGUAAGUCAAUACAUAGCAUUCAAGGCAAAAAAGUUGGUGAUAAAGCUGCAAUGGGUAAAUUGGUGAAAGACUCAGAAAGACAGACAGACAUACAGACACAGAGAGACAGACAGCCAGCCAGGUAGACAGACAAACCAUAAACCUAACCCUAAACUAACCCUACUUCAUGUCCACAUACCUGGGGUAAGUUGUGCCGAGAGACCACUUUAUUUGGACAAGAUAUGUUUUGAAAACUGUAAUGUUUUCAGAUUAUUUCCAGGGAUACACAACAUCCUGAAAAAUAUGUAAAUAUCUUUGUAUACUAUAAUACUAUGUUUCCCUUGAUGGAGAAAAGCUGAAUGUAAAAAAUGUGCUCAACUUACCCCACUCUCACUUACACUGAAAAUAACAUUUGGGUUGGGUUCGGGACCAGUUCUUGCGGAACUGCGGUUAGGUUCGGGACCACUUCUUGCAGGACUGCGGGUGGGUUCGGGACCAUUUCUUGCAGGACUGCGGUUGGGUUCGGGACCAGUUCUUGCAGGAGCAGAUGGGAGUCUGACAAAAAGCCAGUGGGGGUGAGCUGGUACGGUAUGAAAAGCUGCUUGUGUGGUUGGGUGGGAGCGGGAUGAAGAAAUCAGUCCUGUGCAGACCUCUAGCUCUACUGUUAGCCAGAUAGCUAGUUAUAACUAGCUGGCUAGAAGGAUGAAGUCAGAAGCUAAUGUUUAACAGAGCCUGACCUCAGCAGGAGGAGUCAACUGAAAUUAAACUAGCUAUAAUCUUAACUAAAGAUAUGCUAUUAGAAGUUCUCAUAACAAAAUAACUUUGCUUUACAGAGAGCAGUGAGGCAGACAGUGGUGAGGCCGACCGCAAUGCAGACACACAGACAGAGACAGCAAGCAGAGAGAUUGGGGUCCCCUGAAAUUGAGAAUGUUUCAUCUUAUCAAACACAUUGUUUAUCAUCAAAUGGCUUUAGAAUACAUAUAUUUUUUUAUUCAACAAGGCAAGUCAGUUAAGAACACAUUUUUAUUUACAAUGACGGCCUACACCAGACAAACCUGACGACACUGGGCCAAUUGUGCUCCGCUCUAUGGGACUCCCUAUCACAGCCGGUUGUGAUACAGCCUGGAUUUGAACUAGGGUGUCUGCAGUGACACCUCUAGCACUGAGAUGCAGUGCCUUAGACCGCUGCACCACUCAGGAGCCACAUACAACAUUUUUUGAGUCAACUACGGUCCUUUUACAAUGCUAGAAUGCACUUGCUUGUCAUUAUGUGUUGGGACAGCCCGUGGGACCUAAAAUGUAAUAAAUUAAAUAGACAAUUUAAUAUUAUUCUCAUGUAUUUGAAAAUCUAUUGUUAAAACUGCUUUGCAGAGAGUAGUGAGACAGACAGUGAUGAGGCGGAGGCAGGCUGCAAUUCAGGAGGAGGUGGAGGAGACAGACAGACAUCGAUGAGGCGGAGGCAGGCUGCAAUUCAGGAGGAGGUGGAGGAGACAGACAGUGACGAGGCGGAGUCAGGCUGCAAUUCAGUAGGAGGUGGAGGAGACAGACAGUGAUGAGGCGGAGGCAGGCUUCAAUUCAGGAGGAGGUAGAGGAGACAGACAGUGAUGAGGCUGAGGCAGGCUGCAAUUAAAGAGUAGGUGGAGGAGACAGACAGUGAUGAGGCUGAGGCAGGCUGCAAUUCAAGAGGAGGUGGAGGAGACAGACAGUGAUGAGGCGGAGGCAGGCUGCAAUUCAGGAGGAGGUGGAGGAGACAGACAGUGAUGAGGCUGAGGCAGGCUGCAAUUCAGGAGGAGGUGGAGGAGACAGACAGUGAUGAGGCUGAGGCAGGCUGCAAUUCAGGAGGAGGUGGAGGAGACCGACAGUGAUAAGGCUGAGGCAGGCUGCAAUUCAGGAGGAGGUGGAGGAGACAGACAGUGAUGAGGCGGAGGCAGGCUGCAAUUCAGGAGUAGGUGGAGAAGACAGACAGUAAUGAGGCGGAGGCAGGCUGCAAUUCAGGAGGAGGUGGAGGAGACAGACAGUGAUGAAGUGGAGGCAGGCUGCAAUUCAGGAGGAGUUGUUUCGGUUUAUAUUGGUGUUUGUUCGUCUUAUCUCGAUCGUCCAGUGGAGUUUAUAGUUUAACAACCUUUUUUUUUUUACCACUGGUAUCACUGGUGACCUUUUAAGAAAGCCCUGUGUCGAGGUUCAGCUUAAUUUGGCAGGAGUGACUUAAUUCAUCCUCAACAUGGUGCUCCAUUCUCUCCCUGCGAAAACACAUUUCCAUCAUCUGAAUUGUUAGUGUCCCCAGGAGGCCGUACAUUGACUUUCAGGUUCCUGUGAUUACAGGAAGUGUCUUAAUUGGGGGUCAUAGGGGCGGUUUUGAAGGAUUAUAAAAGUUAAAUCAACCCAAAAGCAUUUUUGACCUCUAUUGGACAUAAUGGUCUUGCAGUUCAAGAAAUUAAAAUUACCUGGCUACCCAGACUCCUCACUCCGGCCAAACGCCCACGAACGUUAUUUUCUUCUUCGCAAUGAGUCUGGAUCUGAGUACCUCCGUUGGGAGGCAGUCUCAGACUAACGAAUGUAGCAAACGACAGAGCAGCAGAAUCAUUUAGUGUGAGUCGUUAGGCUUAAAAAUUGUUAGAAUGAAUUCUGAAGAGCAUGAUGGUCACAUUUUUAUAUAUUUACUUGAAACUGUCUGUCUGUCUGCCUGUGCAUGUCUUGCUGUCUGUCUGUCUUUCUGCCUGCCUACAGCUCUCUGUCUGCCUGCCUGCCUGCCUGCCUGCCUGUCUGGUUCUCGGAAUAUCUUUCUUUGAGUGUCUGUUUGUCUGUCUGAGUCUUUCACCAAUUUACCCAUUGCAGCUGUAUCACCAACCUUUUCGCCUUGGAAGCAAUGUAUUGACUUAUGCGCCAAUGCCCUGUCUGUGAAGAUGGGAGAGAGGAGGAAGAGAAAGGAAGGAGAGAGAGAGAUGAGAUGAGGGGGAGGGAUGGAAGAAGGAGCGAG